CGCAGGCGGCCAGGUCAGUCGAAUGUGAAAGCCCCCGGCUCAACUGGGGAGGGUCGUUCGAUACUGCCUGGCUCGAAGAUAGGAGAGGGAAGUGGAAUUUCAGGUGUAGUGGUGAGAUGCGUAGAUAUCUGAAGGAACACCAGUGGCGAAGGCGACUUUCUGGCCUAUUCUUGACGCUGAGGCGCGAAAGCUAGGGGAGCGAACG
Molecule: ribosomal RNA, 205 nt
Filed under: uncultured bacterium
Lineage: Bacteria
Description: partial 16S ribosomal RNA
Rfam family: Bacterial small subunit ribosomal RNA
Source: RNAcentral